RNAcentral lists this ribosomal RNA (490 nucleotides) under uncultured bacterium. RNAcentral describes it as "partial 16S ribosomal RNA". It matches the Rfam family "Bacterial small subunit ribosomal RNA", at positions 29 to 507 of the family's 1533-position model. The record is from RNAcentral.
AGUGAACGCUGGCGGCAGGCCUAACACAUGCAAGUCGAACGGCAGCACAAGAGAGCUUGCUCUCUGGGUGGCGAGUGGCGGACGGGUGAGGAAUGCAUCGGAAUCUGCCCAUUUGUGGGGGAUAACCUCGGGAAACCGGGACUAAUACCGCAUACGACCUACGGGUGAAAGCAGGGGAUCUUCGGACCUUGCGCAGAUGGAUGAGCCGAUGCCGGAUUAGCUAGUUGGAGGGGUAAAGGCCCACCAAGGCGACGAUCCGUAGCUGGUCUGAGAGGAUGAUCAGCCACACUGGGACUGAGACACUGCCCAGACUCCUACGGGAGGCAGCAGUGGGGAAUAUUGGACAAUGGGCGCAAGCCUGAUCCAGCCAUGCCGCGUGUGUGAAGAAGGCCUUCGGGUUGUAAAGCACUUUUGUUGGGAAAGAAAAGCAGCCGGUUAAUACCCGGUUGUCAUGACGGUACCCAAAGAAUAAGCACCGGCUAACUUCGUG